AGAGGUAUGUGGGUUGUGGAAGAGAAACUCUGAACUGUAGAGAAUCAGAAUGCUCAGUCAUCAAACCCACAAAACUGUAAGAGGAUUCCUUUAGAAUGACAACUCGUCAAAAUAGAAGUUCCUUUCUAGCAGAAAUUUGCUUAUGGGAAAACUGAGGCCCAGAGAAGCAAAGUGUAUUUCCUAGGGUCACACAGCCUAGGUCUCCAGACUGGAUGUCCUUCUUUCUGCAGGUCUGGAUGAGAAACUUGAAGGAGUCAGUCCACAAUAAUUUCUGGAGCAUCUACUUUGUACUACCUGCUGUUCUAGGCACUGUGGUUUCACUGGUAACAAGGACAGAACUACUGUCCCCAAGGAGUUAUGUUCUAAUUGGUGGAUGGGAGGACACAGAUUAGGAACACAGAAACAAAUGAGGUAACUUCUGUCACUGUCACCACCAUGACAACACCCUCUACUGGAAAGGUAUGAGUCAUCCCAGCUGAGGACAUCCUAAACCAGCCAGCCCCCAGCCAACCUAUCCGCUGACCACAGAUGCAUGAGUAAGACAGCUGUACCUAGCCCACAUCAGUAGAACUAGACAACUUGUCUCUAGACAACUAGACAACUAGACUCAAACAGGGUCUUGCUCUGUCUCCCAAGCUGGAGUGUAGCAGCAUGAUCAUGGCUCACUGUGCAGCCUCAACCUCCUGGGCUCAAGUAAUCCUCCUGCCUCAGCCUCCCAAGUAGCUGGGACUAUAGGUUGAGAGGUCAUUCUUACCAAGAGCAGCAAAGACCAACUCAUAGAAUCAGCAAUGAAUCUUCGUGUUUCAGCAGAGGGAAAAUAACCGCCUUUAGCUCACCUCGCAAUUGCUGUACCUUUUCAUGCCAAAAUUUCAUUGAAAGUGUCUGAGUGCACACAAACAGACUGAAGCACCGCCUAUGUGAGGUGCUUAGAGACAGGUUGCCUGAGUUUACACCUCGGCUUUGCCACUUACCAGCAGUGUGACCUUAGGCAAGUGCCUUUUCCUCUCUGAGGAAAUUGUCUCAGGGAUAAAUGAAUGAACCCUUUGGUGAUUGGUUGAACCCACAGUUCAUCUCAGCCUGGCAGUUUGCCAUGAUAAUGUGUCUUCCAAAUGUGCACAGAAAUAAUGUGGAUCCCAGCGCAAGUGAGACCACUGGGCAUUAAUAACCAAUACUUUGAGAAUCGUGUGAUGUUUAAUUUUAAUAUGUGCAUUUGGUCCUUCAUAACUGGCUCCUCUUCAGGGUGUGUACUUCAACUCAGACAAGGUGCACACAGGUCUCUUGAAGAUGCCAUUAUAGAUGUCUGCAAAUAAAUGACUGAAAUGUAAGACUAUCUGGUCUCUCUAAAGUAAAAGGAGGCAGUGCUUGGGG
This 1368-nucleotide long non-coding RNA is filed under the name Homo sapiens (human). RNAcentral describes it as "uncharacterized LOC105370002, transcript variant 1 (LOC105370002)". The record is from RNAcentral. Lineage: Eukaryota; Metazoa; Chordata; Mammalia; Primates; Hominidae.